RNAcentral lists this transfer RNA (74 nucleotides) under Paramuricea clavata. It matches the Rfam family "tRNA". From Rfam's summary of the family: Transfer RNA (tRNA) molecules are approximately 80 nucleotides in length. Lineage: Eukaryota; Metazoa; Cnidaria; Anthozoa; Malacalcyonacea; Plexauridae. The record is from Rfam by way of RNAcentral.
ACCCCCGUGACGCAAUGGAUUAGCGCGUUGGACAUCUAAUUCAAAGGUUGUGCGUUCGAGUCCCAUCGGGGGUG